CAAUAGCGUAUAUUAACGUUGUUGCAGUUAAAAAGCUCGUAGUUGGAUUUCUGGAGGGAGCGUCGGCCCGUAUUUACGAGUGCGUGACGUCUCUGUCCAUCCUUGCGGGAAGGCACGGCAUUGAUUUGCUGUGUCGGAUCGCAUCAUUUACUGUGAAAAAAUUAGAGUGUUCAAAGCAGGCUUUCGCUUGAAUACAUUAGCAUGGAAUAAUAAGAUAGGACUUUGGUGCUAUUUUGUUGGUUGAGCCUAAAGUAAUGAUUAAUAGGGAUAGUUGGGGGCACCUGUAUUGCGUUGUCAGAGGUGAAAUUCUUGGAUUUACGCAAGACAAACAGCUGCGAANGNGUCUGCNAAGGAUGUUUNCAUUA
This 365-nucleotide ribosomal RNA is filed under the name uncultured eukaryote. RNAcentral's name for it is "partial 18S ribosomal RNA". It matches the Rfam family "Eukaryotic small subunit ribosomal RNA", at positions 592 to 975 of the family's 1831-position model. The record is from RNAcentral.